CCGGUGUGGACCGGCAAGAGAACCAACCGUGUCUUAGCCCAGAACCUUUGUUGCGUAUCUCCUGGACCAGCUACCUGAUCCUUCCUUACCCUUCCACGGCUCAGCCAUUAUCUUGAAAACAUGAAUGUGGAGGAAGACGACUUGUGUGUACUGACAUCUCUGCUGGAGGAGAACGAGGCAGCAGCCGUGCCCUGUGGCUCGGAGGAGAAAUGCCUAAGCUCUCUUCAACCUGUAGCGUGGGUUUAUUUAAAAUAAAGUUUGAUGCAACUAAUAAAAGCCGAUAUACAACUAGAGAAGCUGUAGAACACGACUGAGAAACCAGCCGUACAGACAGAAUCCCUGAGCACUUAGGGCAGGGUUACAGGUGUACUUAUGUGUGUCAGGAAUCUUAAAGAUCAAAACAUACCUAGCAAAUCCCACUAAACAUUUAGUUCUCGAGAUUAGGCUAACAGUGCCUGACCUACGUGAGUGCUGGUUCUGUCUAGGGGUGAGGUAAGUUGGCGGGAUCAUUACUGGAAUCUGAACUCCAGCUAGACAACGUGUCAAGAGGGUAAUCAUGAGAAAAGUAGUUACCGGACAUAGAUGGUUGAGGCUCUGAGGAGCCAAAGAUUCAGGCUCAUGGCUGGGUGCCCUACAGUUUUGUCUGUGCUCUGUGAGGGCCAAAGGGGCUGACCUUGGUAGUCCUGUUCCCCUUAAGGUCUGACCACCAUUUUUAGGGGCGUUUGUGCUUUGGCUUCUAACUCAACAAAGGAAAAGAAAUAAAGUAUUAGUAAGGACCAAAGGUUCUUGGGAGUGAUCUGAAAGGAUGGGGUGUCUGACGUCGGCUGCAGAGUGGUCUGUGCCCUGUAAAUGUGUUCUCCUCUGCGCAGGGCAUGGCUGGUCUUCGCUUGCUGUCUGUAAGAUGGUGACAUGCUUACAAAGCUCUGGGGACUGAGUAUGGAUGUCUUUAAUUUUUAAAUUUUAAUUCCCAAAUAAUUAGAAACACUAUGGAACCCCUUCCUAUUCUCACAGAUAUUGGAAGGUUGAAUUUUUAUGCAUUAUAUGUGUGGUUUCCUAUAAUAUUCAGGGGUGAGGAGGGGGUAGAGAGAACUACCCAUGUGCCUUGAAAAUAUUCAUUAAUAGAAUUAAUCUUUUAAUCCUGCCUUUUAGUGCUUUUUACCAACUAUUAAAUACUUUCAUAG
This 1181-nucleotide long non-coding RNA is filed under the name Rattus norvegicus (Norway rat). RNAcentral describes it as "long non-coding RNA NONRATT012622". The record is from RNAcentral. Lineage: Eukaryota; Metazoa; Chordata; Mammalia; Rodentia; Muridae.